AUCGCUUCUCAGCCUUUUGGCUAAGAUCAAGUGUAGGAAUAGCAUGAGGGAGUGUUUUGGAAUAAUGAAAAUAUUCUCUGGUGCUAGCUGAAUGUUAAACUUCACAUGUCUAUAUAUCAAAAGAGAAAAUAAAUAUACUGUAUAGUUUUAAAACAUUUCUGACUCACC
This 168-nucleotide small nuclear RNA is filed under the name Mustela putorius furo (domestic ferret). RNAcentral's name for it is "U2 spliceosomal RNA". It matches the Rfam family "U2 spliceosomal RNA". Rfam says of the family: U2 is a small nuclear RNA (snRNA) component of the spliceosome (involved in pre-mRNA splicing). Complementary binding between U2 snRNA (in an area lying towards the 5' end but 3' to hairpin I) and the branchpoint sequence (BPS) of the intron results the bulging out of an unpaired adenosine, on the BPS, which initiates a nucleophilic attack at the intronic 5' splice site, thus starting the first of two transesterification reactions that mediate splicing. The record is from Rfam by way of RNAcentral. Lineage: Eukaryota; Metazoa; Chordata; Mammalia; Carnivora; Mustelidae.